UCCUACGGGGCGCAGCAGUGAGGAAUAUUGGUCAAUGGUCGGGAGACUGAACCAGCCAAGCCGCGUGAGGGAUGAAGGUACAGAGUAUCGUAAACCUCUUUUGUCAGGGAACAAAGGCGGGGACGCGUCCCCGGAUGAGUGUACCUGAAGAAAAAGCAUCGGCUAACUCCGUGCCAGCAGCCGUGGUAAUACGGAGGAUGCGAGCGUUAUCCGGAUUUAUUGGGUUUAAAGGGUGCGCAGGCGGUCUGUUAAGUCAGCGGUCAAAGCCCGGGGCUCAACCCCGGCCCGCCGUUGAAACUGGCAGG
This 305-nucleotide ribosomal RNA is filed under the name uncultured bacterium. Its description in RNAcentral is "bacterial SSU rRNA". It matches the Rfam family "Bacterial small subunit ribosomal RNA", at positions 337 to 640 of the family's 1533-position model. The record is from RNAcentral.